CUAACUAGGAUUCCCUCAGUAGCUGCGAGCGAACAGGGAAGAGCCCAGCACCGAAUCCCGCGGCCGAUACCGGGCGCCGGGAAAUGUGGUGUUAGGGAGGAUCCGUUUAUCCCGAGGUCGUGCGGUGCGUCCAAGUCCAUCUUGAACGGGGCCACAGCCCAGAGAGGGUGCCAGGCCCGUAGCGACCGCCGCCGAUAGCGGGAGGAUCUCUCCUCAGAGUCGGGUUGCUUGAGAGUGCAGCCCUAAGUGGGUGGUAAACUCCAUCUAAGGCUAAAUAUGACCACGAGACCGAUAGCGAACAAGUACCGUGAGGGAAAGUUGAAAAGCACUUUGAAGAGAGAGUUCAAGAGUACGUGAAACCGUUCAGGGGUAAACCUGAGAAACCCGAAAGGUCGAAAGGGGAAAUUCAGUCUCGUUUCGGUCGUCGGCGAUUAGCGGUCGAGUGACGGACGGCGUGUGUUUACACGUGCCGUUCGCUCCUUCCGUUUUUCGAACCGAUAUCGAACGGGUGCACUUUUCCCCUAGUAGGACGUCGCGAUCCGUUGGGUGUCGGUCUAAGGCUCGCGGUGGAGCCCACGAGGACGUUUAGGCGUUCCGCGUGGACCUGCGGUGUUCCGGCCGACUCGCUCGACGGUAUAAAUAUGGCGCGGGGCCGCUACUUCAUAGUUAGCGUUCGGCCUGUGGCAAGCGCGUCCGUUGUUCGACGGAGAUCGGACCUGGUGCCGGUCCUGUCCGCGGGCGACUGUUGGCUGCGGUGUUCUCGAACAGACCUCGUUGAAACGCCGAUCUGCGACGCUCUAGCUUUGGGUACUUUUCAGGACCCGUCUUUGAAACACAGAC
This 840-nucleotide ribosomal RNA is filed under the name Donacia fulgens. Its description in RNAcentral is "eukaryotic LSU rRNA". It matches the Rfam family "Eukaryotic large subunit ribosomal RNA", at positions 65 to 666 of the family's 3401-position model. The record is from RNAcentral. Lineage: Eukaryota; Metazoa; Arthropoda; Insecta; Coleoptera; Chrysomelidae.